CGUUAGCUCAGUUGGUAGAGCAGGCGGACUCUUAAGUCCGUAGGUCGAGUGUUCGAGUCACUCACG
RNAcentral lists this transfer RNA (66 nucleotides) under Cupriavidus basilensis OR16. RNAcentral's name for it is "tRNA-OTHER". It matches the Rfam family "tRNA", at positions 5 to 66 of the family's 71-position model. From Rfam's summary of the family: Transfer RNA (tRNA) molecules are approximately 80 nucleotides in length. Their secondary structure includes four short double-helical elements and three loops (D, anti-codon, and T loops). The record is from RNAcentral. Lineage: Bacteria; Pseudomonadati; Pseudomonadota; Betaproteobacteria; Burkholderiales; Burkholderiaceae.